This 234-nucleotide ribosomal RNA is filed under the name Fructilactobacillus sanfranciscensis. Its description in RNAcentral is "Lactobacillus sanfranciscensis partial 23S ribosomal RNA". It matches the Rfam family "Bacterial large subunit ribosomal RNA", at positions 1 to 229 of the family's 2925-position model. The record is from RNAcentral. Lineage: Bacteria; Bacillati; Bacillota; Bacilli; Lactobacillales; Lactobacillaceae.
UAUAGGUUAAGUUAAUAAGGGCGCAUGGUGAAUGCCUUGGUACUAGGAGCCGAUGAAGGACGCAACUAACUGCGAUAAGCUUCGGGGAGCUGUACGUAAGCUUUGAUCCGGAGAUUUCCGAAUGAGAAAACUCGGCCAGUGUUAUGACUGGUCACUGCAUAGUGAAUACAUAGCUAUGCAGAGGCAGACGUGGGGAACUGAAACAUCUAAGUACCCACAGGAAUAUAAAGAAAU